This 491-nucleotide ribosomal RNA is filed under the name uncultured bacterium. RNAcentral's name for it is "partial 16S ribosomal RNA". It matches the Rfam family "Bacterial small subunit ribosomal RNA", at positions 29 to 507 of the family's 1533-position model. The record is from RNAcentral.
GUGCACGCUGGCGGUAGGCCUCACACCUGCCAGUCGAACGGCAGCACAGUAAGAGCUUGCUCUUACGGGUGGCGAGUGGCGGACGGGUGAGGAGUACAUCGGAAUCUACUUUUUCGUGGGGGAUAACGUAGGGAAACUUACGCUAAUACCGCAUACGACCUACGGGUGAAAGCAGGGGAUCUUCGGACCUUGCGCGAUUGAAUGAGCCGAUGUCGGAUUAGCUAGUUGGCGGGGUAAAGGCCCACCAAGGCGACGAUCCGUAGCUGGUCUGAGAGGAUGAUCAGCCACACUGGAACUGAGACACGGUCCAGACUCCUACGGGAGGCAGCAGUGGGGAAUAUUGGACAAUGGGCGCAAGCCUGAUCCAGCCAUACCGCGUGGGUGAAGAAGGCCUUCGGGUUGUAAAGCCCUUUUGUUGGGAAAGAAAAGCAGCAGGUUAAUACCCCGCUGUUCUGACGGUACCCAAAGAAUAAGCACCGGCUAACUUCGUA